RNAcentral lists this ribosomal RNA (497 nucleotides) under uncultured bacterium. RNAcentral's name for it is "partial 16S ribosomal RNA". It matches the Rfam family "Bacterial small subunit ribosomal RNA", at positions 28 to 507 of the family's 1533-position model. The record is from RNAcentral.
GAUGAACGCUGGCGGCGUGCCUAAUACAUGCAAGUCGAGCGAACAGAUGAGGAGCUUGCUCCUCUGACGUUAGCGGCGGACGGGUGAGUAACACGUGGAUAACCUACCUAUAAGACUGGGAUAACUUCGGGAAACCGGAGCUAAUACCGGAUAAUAUAUUGAACCGCAUGGUUCAAUAGUGAAAGACGGUUUUGCUGUCACUUAUAGAUGGAUCCGCGCCGCAUUAGCUAGUUGGUAAGGUAACGGCUUACCAAGGCAACGAUGCGUAGCCGACCUGAGAGGGUGAUAGGCAACACUGGAACUGAGACGCGGUCCAGACUCCUACGGGAGGCAGCAGUAGGGAAUCUUCCGCAAUGGGCGAAAGCCUGACGGAGAAACGCCGCGUGAGUGAUGAAGGUCUUCGGAUCGUAAAACUCUGUUAUUAGGGAAGAACAAAUGUGUAAGUAACUAUGCACGUCUUGACGGUACCUAAUCAGAAAGCCACGGCUAACUACGUG